GCUGGAAUUGCUAGUAAUCACAGGUCAGCAUACUGUGGUGAAUACGUUCCCGGGCCUUGUACACACCGCCCGUCACACCAUGAGAGUUGAGAAUACCCGAAGCCCAUGUCAAAGUGGUCGAAGGUAGGCUUGAUGAUUGGGGUGAAGUCGUAACAAGGUAGC
Molecule: ribosomal RNA, 162 nt
Filed under: uncultured bacterium
Lineage: Bacteria
Description: partial 16S ribosomal RNA
Rfam family: Bacterial small subunit ribosomal RNA
Source: RNAcentral